This 794-nucleotide ribosomal RNA is filed under the name Cetraria sepincola. Its description in RNAcentral is "SSU rRNA". It matches the Rfam family "Bacterial small subunit ribosomal RNA", at positions 380 to 1146 of the family's 1533-position model. Lineage: Eukaryota; Fungi; Ascomycota; Lecanoromycetes; Lecanorales; Parmeliaceae. The record is from RNAcentral.
AGCUACUUGCAUCAUUGUAAAUAUGAUGCAAGAUCGACUAUGUCGAAUAAAAUUCUAGGUAGAAUUAUGAUAAUGACAUUGUCUGCCUAUGUGUCUUGACCAAAUUACGUGCCAGCAGUCGCGGUAAUACGUAGAAGACUAGUGUUAUUCAUGUUUAAUCGGUUUAAAGGGUACCUAGACGGUAAAUCAAGCCUAAAAGGAAAUAAAUGAAGGGACUAAUUUACUAGAGUUACUUAUGAGGGGGUAUUAAAGUACUGCUGGUGUAGAGAUGAAAUUCUGUCAUACCUCUUUUCAAUAGAAAAAUAAUGGCACAGGUAUAGGCGAAAGCAUCCCCUUAUGUGAUAACUGACGUUGAGGGACGAAGGCUUUGUGUAGCGAACAGGAUUAGAUACCCCAGUAGUCAAAGCAGAAAAUGAUGAAUGUCAUAGAUUAGAUAUAUAAGUUUAUUCUAUAAAUGAAAGUGUAAGCAUUCCACCUCAAGAGUAAUUUGGCAACAUUGGAACUGAAAUCAUUAGACCGUUUCUGAAACCAGUAGUGAAGUAUGUUGUUUAAUUUGAUGAUCCGCAAAAAACCUUACCACAAUUUGAAUAUUUAUAUCUUUUAUUGUUUUUUUUUACUUUAUUCUAAUUUUCUACUUAAAAGAAAACAAGAAAAAAGAGGCAAGAAGAUAUAUUUACAAGCGUUGCACGGCUGUCUUCAGUUAAUGUCGCGAGACUAUGGUUAGUUCCAUUAAAUUAACGUAANCCCUUACUUUAUUUUUAUAUAGAGUAGUUCCCCGCUAUAUUGGAUAUGAU